RNAcentral lists this ribosomal RNA (495 nucleotides) under uncultured bacterium. RNAcentral's name for it is "partial 16S ribosomal RNA". It matches the Rfam family "Bacterial small subunit ribosomal RNA", at positions 28 to 507 of the family's 1533-position model. The record is from RNAcentral.
GACGAACGCUGGCGGCGUGCCUAAUACAUGCAAGUAGAACGCUGAAGGAGGAGCUUGCUUCUCUGGAUGAGUUGCGAACGGGUGAGUAACGCGUAGGUAACCUGCCUGGUAGCGGGGGAUAACUAUUGGAAACGAUAGCUAAUACCGCAUAAGAGUAGAUGUUGCAUGACAUUUGCUUAAAAGGUGCAAUUUCAUCACUACCAGAUGGACCUGCGUUGUAUUAGCUAGUUGGUGGGGUAACGGCUUACCAAGGCGACGAUACAUAGCCGACCUGAGAGGGUGAUCGGCCACACUGGGACUGAGACACGGCCCAGAAUCCUACGGGAGGCAGCAGUAGGGAACCUUCGGCAAUGGACGGAAGUCUGACCGAGCAACGACGCGUGAGUGAAGAAGGUUUUCGGAUCGUAAAGCUCGGUUGUAAGAGAAGAACGAGUGUGAGAGUGGAAAGUUCACACUGUGACGGUAUCUUACCAGAAAGGGACGGCUAACUACGUG